AGUGAACGCUGGCGGCGUGCUUAACACAUGCAAGUCGAACGAGAACGGGUUUAGCUUGCUAUAAUUGUCAGCUAAGUGGCGCACGGGUGAGUAAUGUAUAGGUAAUAUGCCUCUUACUAAGGGAUAACAAAUGGAAACGUUUGCUAAUACCUUAUACUCCUUACUAACAUAAGUUAAUAAGGGAAAGAUUUAUUGGUAAGAGAUUAGCCUGUAUUGUAUCAGUUAGUUGGUGGGGUAAUGGCUUACCAAGACUAUGACACAUAACUGGUUUGAGAGGAUGAUCAGUCACACUGGAACUGAGACACGGUCCAGACUCCUACGGGAGGCAGCAGUGGGGAAUAUUGCACAAUGGACGAUAGUCUGAUGCAGCAACGCCGCGUGGAGGAUGACACAUUUCGGUGCGUAAACUCCUUUUAUAUGAGAAGAUAAUGACGGUAUUAUAUGAAUAAGCACCGGCUAACUCCGUGCCAGCCGCCGCCGUAA
Molecule: ribosomal RNA, 483 nt
Filed under: uncultured bacterium
Lineage: Bacteria
Description: partial 16S ribosomal RNA
Rfam family: Bacterial small subunit ribosomal RNA
Source: RNAcentral